CAAGUGACAACACUGCCCACCAAUGGUAUGAAGCCAAGAAGGCAAUGUCUGGCAUUGUUUCCAAGGCAACGGACAAGUCUGAACACAGAGCUGCCUUGGAAGAACCAUAAAGGACUGUUUGCAGGACAAACAGGAACUGUGCAAAGUGGAUUUCUUAGGACAUGGCUUUCCUGAAAGCUGGCCCAGUGGACUGGAGAACUGGUAGAUGAUUGAUGCCACAAAGCCAGGUUAUAGUUGUUGGAUUUUUGGGACUGGGCCCCAGGGGAAGAAUACCUGUCCCAGCAAGCGCAGCUGGAGAUGUACAAGAAAAGUGGGACACAUGUCGAGACCUGCCAUCACCAUAGGCAACAUUCCUAAGCCAAGACAGUGCUGGAGAAUGGAAGAGUCUCUUCAGCUCUGGAGACAAAGGGAUGGUCCCAGUGAAAAAGUCUUCCUGAUCAAAAGGGGCUGCUCCACUCUCCUUUAUUUGCUGAUUGAAGGGAUUUAUAAAGUGAACCCUGGUUUCAGUACUGCACUUGCAAAGCAUGAGGAUGUGUAUCAAGAGAUGCCCAGAAGCACUAUUUUGCCUCAAAGGAUAAUGAGUGUAAUGACACCAGGAUACAGCUACUCAGUUCUCUAACUGACCCUAUGGAAGUGGUUUCCCAAGGCUAUUUUUCUUAGCUCGUGAGUCUGUCCUAUAUCUUUGGGAUUCCCUGGUGGCCUCUUCUUCUAGUGCUGGCCCAGUCUUAACUCUGUUUGGCUUCUGACCUGAGAUAAGGUCAGUCAGGUGCUGCUUUACCUACUCUGACUACAGAGAUAUUUCUGAUUUUAGGCUAGAAUAUUUGAAGUUGUAUUUUCCAUAUAGGAGCAUUCAUCUUUUGAUCUCUUGCAUGCCUUAACAUACGGCUUUUCAAUCGGUGGUACGUGUACCACCAGUGGUACUUUAGUACCUGGCAGGUGGUACAUGACCCCUAGCCAAGUGUAGCAGGGAACAAGCUAAAGUGGCACUGCAUAGGCCUGGAGGAGAUCAGCUGGAGCUGCAUGGCUUGGCAGAAGCCCCAGGACCUGUGUGCACGGCUACAUGCUGAUUGAAGCUUCGGGUGCACCCGGAAGAGAAAAGGAGGAGGGGGGUGGAGAGAGGAGAAGCCAUAAAAGGAGAUUUUGGCGAGAAAGGGAGAAAAAAAACACGGAGAAAGAAAGAGAAGAGGCUUUUGUUAGCGAAGCUGUGAGGAGAGAGAGAGAGAGAGAGCAGCCUUUGCAAGCAAAGAGUGUGUGUGAGAGAGAGAGCGGGGGGCUUUUGUAAGCAAAGUGAGUGAGAGCAAGGGGCUUUUGCAAGCAAAGAGUGAAAAAGUGAGCAAGGGGCUUUUGUGAGCAAAGGGUGAGAGAAAAAGGGAAAAGAGAGGGGGAGAAGAGAAAAAGAAAAGCCAUUGACUUCUGACUUCCUCUGUCGCAGUAGAAGGAAGCAUUAACAUUG
Molecule: long non-coding RNA, 1453 nt
Organism: Crotalus tigris (Tiger rattlesnake)
Lineage: Eukaryota; Metazoa; Chordata; Lepidosauria; Squamata; Viperidae
Exons: 3
Source: RefSeq, a predicted model, not a curated record